RNAcentral lists this transfer RNA (77 nucleotides) under Tepidimonas ignava. RNAcentral describes it as "tRNA-Lys". It matches the Rfam family "tRNA". From Rfam's summary of the family: Transfer RNA (tRNA) molecules are approximately 80 nucleotides in length. RNAcentral also lists the same sequence under 9 other names. Lineage: Bacteria; Pseudomonadati; Pseudomonadota; Betaproteobacteria; Burkholderiales. The record is from RNAcentral.
GGGCCGUUAGCUCAAUUUGGCAGAGCAACUGACUCUUAAUCAGUGGGUUGCAGGUUCAAGUCCUGCACGGCCUACCA